Molecule: long non-coding RNA, 522 nt
Organism: Sycon ciliatum
Lineage: Eukaryota; Metazoa; Porifera; Calcarea; Leucosolenida; Sycettidae
Exons: 2
Source: RefSeq, a predicted model, not a curated record
UCCAUUUCAAAACUAUAGACGCGUACCUAGGCAAAAACCGUUAUGCCAGCAUCUAUACCACAUAAAAUCUGUGAUCACUUUGUGCAGAAAUUUUUCCAAAUUGGGCGUCUGUUAUCCAAUCCUUUAGAAACUAUAUGAGAGUAAUUGUGGAGCGGUUCUGAGCAAUAUUCCGAAAACUAUUCUCAAAAAGUUCCAGCCAAAUUUGAAAUAUUUCAAAAACCCUACGCGUCUAUAGUUUUGAAAUGCACUGUAGGGAAGCAAAAGAUCAUUGAGCUUCAAUUCAUUUGGAAAUCGCCAUCACUUUCUUUGCCUACUAAAUUUCGUUUUGUUAGGUCUAUUGUGCUAGCAACUGUUUUAUACGGAUGCCAAUCUUGGACAUUAUCUGCCUCAUCAAUGAGAAGAAUUUCAUCCUUCGAGAUGAAAUGCUUCCGCCCACUCUUAGGAGUAACAUACCACGACCGGCGUACCAACCAAUCUAUCCUGGAAGAAAUCAAUGACAUCAUCGGAGCAAGGAUGCGGCUA